GCGCGAGUGGCGGAAUUGGCAGACGCGCAGGAUUUAGGAUCCUGUACCGGAAGGUGUGGGGGUUCAAGUCCCCCCUCGCGCA
Molecule: transfer RNA, 82 nt
Filed under: Candidatus Nanopelagicales bacterium
Lineage: Bacteria; Bacillati; Actinomycetota; Actinomycetes; Candidatus Nanopelagicales
Description: tRNA-Leu
Rfam family: tRNA
About the family: Transfer RNA (tRNA) molecules are approximately 80 nucleotides in length. Their secondary structure includes four short double-helical elements and three loops (D, anti-codon, and T loops).
Source: RNAcentral